GAAAGUUACAAUCAUCAAGUAUCACCCCUGAACCUGAAGAACUCCUAUAAUCUGCAAGAAAAGAAUGAAUUUAUACCUCAAUAGUGAAUGUUACCUUAAUAGUAGAUCGAACCAACUUUAUGGGUAUGAUGUCAAUAAUGAAUGAUUUGCCUCACAGACGCAGAAUAUAACAAUAGUAGCUAUAACCUAAAGAAUCUAUGAAGUAGAAUCCUUCUCAAGAUAAUAAUUUUGAUACAAUGGGAUGAAAUAAGCAAUAAUAC
Long non-coding RNA from Brassica rapa (field mustard), 260 nucleotides. RefSeq lists it as uncharacterized. The record is from RefSeq and is a predicted model, not a curated record. NCBI's taxonomy places the organism in Eukaryota, Viridiplantae, Streptophyta, Magnoliopsida, Brassicales, Brassicaceae.